AACUGAUACUACCUGCGGGAACCUGCGGAAGGAUCAUUACAAAAAUUUGUAAAAUGUACAGGAAUUCUCCUUACAUUUGGCAGACAGCGGGGCAACCCGCCGCUCUGUUUAACCCCUUGUGAAAACCCUCUGUUGCCUCGGCGGCUCAUCCUGCCGCGCGGCCAUGCGCUGCGCGGGGGGUGGUCAGUCCGCCGGCGGCACCCACCAAAAACCCAUAACCAAUUUUUGAAGAAGCUGUCU
Molecule: unclassified non-coding RNA, 240 nt
Filed under: soil metagenome
Description: partial contains 5.8S ribosomal RNA, internal transcribed spacer 2, and large subunit ribosomal RNA
Source: RNAcentral